This 427-nucleotide ribosomal RNA is filed under the name uncultured Acidibacter sp. Its description in RNAcentral is "bacterial SSU rRNA". It matches the Rfam family "Bacterial small subunit ribosomal RNA", at positions 353 to 772 of the family's 1533-position model. Lineage: Bacteria; Pseudomonadati; Pseudomonadota; Gammaproteobacteria. The record is from RNAcentral.
AGUGGGGAAUAUUGGACAAUGGGGGCAACCCUGAUCCAGCGACGCCGCGUGUGUGAAGAAGGCCUGCGGGUUGUAAAGCACUUUUAGUGGGGAUGAAAAGCACAUUGCUAAUACCAGUGUGUCUUGACCUAACCCAAAGAAAAAGCACCGGCUAACUCUGUGCCAGCAGCCGCGGUAAUACAGAGGGUGCGAGCGUUAAUCGGAAUUACUGGGCGUAAAGCGUGCGUAGACGGUUAUUUAAGUCGGGUGUGAAAGCCCCGGGCUCAACCUGGGAAUUGCAUUCGAGACUGAAUAGCUAGGGUACGGUAGAGGGAAGUGGAAUUUCCGGUGUAGCGGUGAAAUGCGUAGAUAUCGGAAGGAACAUCAGUGGCGAAAGCGACUUCCUGGACCAGUACCGACGUUCAGGCACGAAAGCGUGGGGAGCAAA